CAACAACAAAUAUGGCGGAAUCUGUAUUGUCAAACACGGAAGAAGAAGGAUACAACCAUAAUUAAACCAAGACGUUUAUGAAGAAGGGAUCACUGGAUUUUGUCACUUUGGUACAAGAAACAGAAAAGGAUAUCAUAGACCACCUUACUUAUACGGAAGCAUAGGAGCUGUUGAAGGAAAUUGCUGCCAGACAGUCAGCAGUUAUCACUGACAGCCUGUCCUGGCCCAGCUUGGACCAUCCUCAAGCUAACCAUGAUGGUGUGUUUGCAAGAAUUGUCCAUUUGGUAGACCAUGAUGAAGACCAGCUUUGUUGUGGCAUGGCCUGACAAUACUGUACAAGCCAGAGACCAAAAAAGGGUUAAGUGGUGACUGAUCCUCUCACCCUCCUUAUCCAGGAAAUAUUUCGGAACAACGUGUUGGCACUGAAGAUGUGGAGGACACAGAUUGAUCACAGUACAUCCUUUGGAUACAUGGACACCUUCAACGUGACGACAACAAAAUUGUACCUGCCUUUUUUUUUGAAAGGAAGUAGUUAAUAAAAUUAUUGUUAACAGCUUUUUUAGUCUUGUUGUUUAAGAAUGCUUGCAACAUUUAAGUGGAUAAACGGUUGUUUUAAAUUUGAAUCUUCAGUAAUGCAUUCUUUAUUAAAUGAUGUAAUCUUAUUUCUUUCAAUAUAGUGUAAAUAAUAAGAACAUAAUUAUCCUUUGUAUACAAAAUGAAAACCAAGUUUACUGUUCUAUUAAUCAUUAUUUAUUUAUCUUGUUCUUUUGUCAGAAAUAUUUCAGGGGCAUACAUACAGUAUUCCUUAAAUAAA
Molecule: long non-coding RNA, 814 nt
Organism: Dreissena polymorpha
Lineage: Eukaryota; Metazoa; Mollusca; Bivalvia; Myida; Dreissenidae
Exons: 4
Source: RefSeq, a predicted model, not a curated record